Molecule: ribosomal RNA, 384 nt
Filed under: Triticum aestivum (bread wheat)
Lineage: Eukaryota; Viridiplantae; Streptophyta; Magnoliopsida; Poales; Poaceae
Description: partial small subunit ribosomal RNA
Source: RNAcentral
AUGAAUCGAGGGAGGGGAGGGAUUACCGCAGAUUUUGAUGGGGGCCUCGAGCUCCAGGAGGUUGGGCUGCGCGAGGAAGAUCUCCUUGGAGGCGGCGCAGAGCUGCUUGAUCUCCGACUCGGACAGCUGCGCGUUCUUCCCGGGCUUGAGGCUCUUCACCUCCAGCAGCCUGGCGAUGAUGUUGUCCAGCAGCGCCGGAUCCAUCCCCUUCUCCGUCAAUCAAGAGCUUCUCAACAACGGCGGCAGUUAAAAGAAGAAGAAGAAGAAAACAAAGCUAUCCCCGCAACAGCAGCGAAAAGGAAAGGAAUCAAGCACAGAUCGAGCAAAUCUCGCUCUGCUUUGCUCUUUUGGGGGAUUGGAUUGGAGGCGGCUGCGGGCUCGUGA